This 253-nucleotide ribosomal RNA is filed under the name uncultured bacterium. Its description in RNAcentral is "partial 16S ribosomal RNA". It matches the Rfam family "Bacterial small subunit ribosomal RNA", at positions 524 to 776 of the family's 1533-position model. The record is from RNAcentral.
UACAGAGGGGGCAAGCGUUGUUCGGAAUUACUGGGCGUAAAGCGCGCGCAGGCGGUUCUUCAAGUCAGAGGUGAAAGCCCAGAGCUCAACUCUGGAAUGGCCUUUGAGACUAGAGAACUAGGGUACGGGAGAGGUGUGUGGAACUCCGAGUGUAGAGGUGAAAUUCGUAGAUAUUCGGAAGAACACCAGUGGCGAAGGCGACACACUGGCCCAUUACUGACGCUGAGGCUCGAAAGCGUGGGGAGCAAACAGG